CCACGGGGAGAUACCAUAUCACCAAAGGAGGAAUUCUUCUCAAUGCAUAAUAGUCCACUUCUUCAUUGCUACUAGGCUUCGAGCGUUUGUCUUGUUGAGUCUUUGUUUGGGUCUUCUUUCGCUUCCUCCCUGUAGAAACAGAGGCUAGAUUCUCUUCCUCCCGAUAAUCUUUGUUUGUCUUGUAUCUACUGACACCACAGUUUGGACAAGUCUUUAAAUUGAUCACCCCGAUAUAGAAUACAAUGAUUUCUACAUGCGUGGAUCUUCUCAACACCUAUCGUAAGUGGACUGACUAGCUUCUUUGCAUAAUAUGUGUUAGCAAGCACUUUGUUCUCCUUAGGAAGAAGGUCUCCAAGUACACGUAAGAAAUCAUUGAAGCUAG
This 382-nucleotide long non-coding RNA is filed under the name Sorghum bicolor (sorghum). RNAcentral's name for it is "long non-coding RNA (SBIC_LNC015410)". The record is from RNAcentral. Lineage: Eukaryota; Viridiplantae; Streptophyta; Magnoliopsida; Poales; Poaceae.